AGCCGAGGUGGGACUUUCAUCAUCCAACAAAUCUUACGAAGGACUUCAAUAUUUGAAGUUAACCUCAUGAGUCUAUUGGGUUAGUCGGAAACGUAAUUUAUGACAUGUUUGUGAGUGAUUUUGGUCUUUACCAAAAUGACUUUUGUCGUGCCUUUUUCAGUAAAAAGUGGCGUGAUAAAACUGGACGGGUUUGAGAGUAAUUUUGGUAUUAUCAUAUAUGUCAUGCCCUUUUUAGUAAUUUCAGAGUAGGCAAAGCCUCUCCAAGAAUUAGCGAGGGGUGAGUCUAUCUAUUUUAUACAAUGCAUGCACUAGAUUGAUUAAGUUGAUCGUUUGUAAAAUGCAGCCUCUUGCAACUUGCAUGCAUAAACUGCAGCUUGAGAAGAUGGCAAUCAGCUUGCAAAUAUCAGAACCUUGGCUUCGUGAAUACCAGGUUCUUCCUUCGAGAACCCAUCCCUUCAUGCAGAUGAAUGCGUUUGGUGGAUACAUUCUAAGUGGGACGAAGAUAUGUGAUGUAGCCCAUCAGUAAGCAAUUUGAAGGUGCAGAUUCUAAUUUUAAAUCAAAUUUUGCCAUCACCUUCUUUUUCCUUUUAAUUAUUUCACAUAAAAACCAUAUUAUGAUCUAGACAUGAAUGACAUCUUAUCUACAUUUAGCUUUAUAUUUUUUUUUGGGUGAUUUUAUCAAAUCUCUUACAAAUUUAAUUCGUA
Molecule: non-coding RNA, 705 nt
Organism: Cucurbita pepo subsp. pepo (vegetable marrow)
Lineage: Eukaryota; Viridiplantae; Streptophyta; Magnoliopsida; Cucurbitales; Cucurbitaceae
Source: RefSeq, a predicted model, not a curated record